CAGCAUUUUCAAUUCAUAAGUGAUAAAAGAUUUAAAACAUUCAAGGAGGGGUUAAUGCAUCCGUGGCUUGCCUUGGUUGCAGGGCAGAGAGGGUCCCUCGGAGACUUCCCAAGUCUCGGGUCCUACUUCCUCGAACGGAGCACCGACCUCGGGGUUCGGUUCGACGGGCGCUCCUUCGGUCACGUGCACUAUACGCAAAAUGAUGAAUGCUCAUGAUAUGCGUAUGACAAAUAUGCAAAAAGGACCAAGUUGCGUAUAACUGGCCACCUCGGUGCAACACAGAAUAAACAAUAAUUAAAAUUGUUUAACAACUCAAUGUCUUUACCCAAGAGGUUGCAUCUUGUAAACUAAGAUUCCUCUUUUUCAUAAUUAUCCUAAAUUAAUUAUUUAUUAAUCCUAUUUACCAUAAUUAAUUCUUAAUUAAUUAUUAAAGACAGUAAUUAAGCUUUAGUGCCAAACAAUAAUCAAAUGCCAAAGGUCAUUAGGGUUAAUGGCCCUAGGUCAUCACACAAUUCCAAAAUCACUCAAACCCUAAUUAGGAGGAUUUAACUAAAUAUCAUCUAAUUAUUUUAGAAUUAUUAUUUAAUUACUAAAUAGGGGUUUAUUAACAUUUUAUUCAACCAUUAUCCAAAUGCCACCAAAUUUUGUUUGGAGCCAGGGAAUGAUAUUCAGAGACUCCUUACAAAUUUUGGUGAUUUUUGGAUAUAUAAAUAAAUUAUUAAAAUUCAUAGAAUUUUUAUUCAUUAACGAAAGAGGCAAUUUUUAUAUACUUGUAAACUACCAGAAAAAGAAACCUAC
RNAcentral lists this long non-coding RNA (798 nucleotides) under Sorghum bicolor (sorghum). RNAcentral describes it as "long non-coding RNA (SBIC_LNC008781)". Lineage: Eukaryota; Viridiplantae; Streptophyta; Magnoliopsida; Poales; Poaceae. The record is from RNAcentral.